GCACCUUUCAGUUUAAACUUUAAUGUUUUUGCUUUACUCUCUACAAAUGCAUUCUGAUAAAUUUUUGUUUGCCUUUAAAGCAAAUGCAAUUUACUAAAAAAAAGAAUUAGUUUUUAGUUUUGGAGCUAUAUAUAUAUAUAUAGCAGCCAAAUAUUGCUUUUUAAUUUUAAGUAGUGAAAUGAACAACUUAGCAAACUAUUGUAUCAUACGUUAUAUUGUGUAAGUGAACCAAGUGCAGAUAGGUUUUAAUUGUAUGACACUAAAAAUUCACAUUAAAUUUACUUCAAAAAGAGGGAGGAAUUGGGAGGUGCUACUAAUUAAGUGGAUGAGGAUUGUUAUUUUUUAUUGCCUACCCUAGAAUAUAUGUUUCAACAUGCCUUGCAUUAAAGAUUUUGUAGUUUUAGUGGCCAUGUUACAAUACUAGGUGUUUUGAUUAAUUGCUGUGUAUACGUAGACAUAGCACUCAGAUUUUAGUUUCAGCCUCUUCGAUGGCAGUGUUAAUUCCUUAACAAGAAAUUAUAAACCAUGUCCUUAACGGGCUAAUUUCAUCUAUGAUCAAUGAACUUUUCUCUAAGUUCCAUUA
RNAcentral lists this unclassified non-coding RNA (583 nucleotides) under Hevea brasiliensis (rubber tree). Lineage: Eukaryota; Viridiplantae; Streptophyta; Magnoliopsida; Malpighiales; Euphorbiaceae. The record is from RNAcentral.